Molecule: transfer RNA, 72 nt
Filed under: Ailuropoda melanoleuca (giant panda)
Lineage: Eukaryota; Metazoa; Chordata; Mammalia; Carnivora; Ursidae
Rfam family: tRNA
About the family: Transfer RNA (tRNA) molecules are approximately 80 nucleotides in length. Their secondary structure includes four short double-helical elements and three loops (D, anti-codon, and T loops).
Source: Rfam by way of RNAcentral
ACCUGGUUGGCUCAGUUGGUAGAGCACGUGACCUUGAUUUCAGUUUCGUGAGUUUGACCCCCACAUUGGGUG